Molecule: RNA transcript, 2215 nt
Organism: Chroicocephalus ridibundus (black-headed gull)
Lineage: Eukaryota; Metazoa; Chordata; Aves; Charadriiformes; Laridae
Gene name: tropomodulin-3-like
Exons: 11
Source: RefSeq, a predicted model, not a curated record
GUAUUUUAAUUUUCCUCGGACAGAACAGCAUGUUACUUCAAUGGUAGUGCUAUAAUUAACUCAGAGGCAAACUUCCUUUGUUCCCUCUGUAGGUAAUACACAGGGAUAUGAGUCAGUAAUAACCAAUUAGCUUGUUUGUAGUGAAGUCUUCCUUUACUGCCCUCGAACAGCAGCAGCAACAAUAGAAGCAUCUUAACUCUUCUUUGGGCUGCAGUAUCUGUAAAACCUGAUGGUGUUCAGCUGGACUCACAAAUACUAGAUCUGGUUAAGAAUAAGAUUUGGGUUUUGAAGUGUUUGAGCAACUUUCUACUACCCAAGUCAUGACGCUCCCAUUUCGAAAGGACUUGGACAAGUACAAAGAUCUCGAUGAGGAUGAAAUUCUUGGCAAACUUUCGGAAGAAGAACUGAAACAACUGGAAACCGUUUUGGAUGAUCUUGACCCUGAGAACGCGCUUCUGCCUGCAGGCUUCCGACAGAAAGACCAGACUGCUAAAAAGGCUUCAGGUCCCUUCGACAGGGAGCGACUCCUUGCAUAUUUGGAGAAGCAGGCUCUUGAGCACAAAGACAGGGAAGACUAUGUGCCUUUUACAAGAGAAAAGAAAGGGAAAAUAUUUAUCCCGAAGCAAAAGCCUAUACAGUCUUACACAGAAGAAAAAUUCUCUCUUGAUCCAGAACUGGAGGAAGCCUUGACCAGUGCCACAGACACAGAAUUAGGUGACCUUGCAGCUAUACUGGGAAUGUCUAACUUGAUAACAAACAAUCAGUUCUGUGAUGUAGUAGGAAGCAGUAAUGGGAUUGACAAAGACAGCUUCUCAAAUAUAGUAAAAGGUGAAAAAAUGUUGCCUGUUUUCGAUGAACCGCCAAAUCCUACAAAUGUGGAGGAGACGCUGCAAAGGAUUAAAGACAAUGAUUCCCGUCUUGUUGAAGUCAAUCUAAAUAACAUUAAGAACAUACCAAUUCCAACGCUGAAAGAAUUUGCAAAAGCCUUAGAAACCAACACGCAUGUGAAGAAUUUUAGCCUUGCAGCCACCCGAAGCAAUGAUCCUGUUGCUGUUGCUCUUGCAGAUAUGCUGAGAGUAAACACAAAAUUAAAAAGUUUAAACAUAGAAUCAAACUUCAUCACUGGAGUUGGAAUUUUGGCACUGGUCGAUGCACUGAAAGACAAUGAAACAUUAACAGAGAUCAAAAUCGAUAACCAGAGGCAGCAGCUCGGCACACUUGCAGAAGUAGAAAUUGCGAAGAUGCUUGAAGAAAACACCAAAAUACUCAAAUUUGGAUACCAUUUCAUGCAACAGGGACCUCGAGCCAGGGCAGCUGCAGCUAUCACAAAAAAUAAUGAUUUGGUCUGGAGUAUGCGAACAAAAUCUUCUGCAAAUACCUUUUCAUCUCUCCAGCCCUGAAGCUACAGAGACGGGUUACUCUGAAUACCCAGUUGGGUACUGAGCACUGAAAGCUGAGGUGUUCAAAGUCUCUCAUUUCUGUCUUUUUCGCAAGAGAAGGGUUGAAGGCGACAAUUAGUAGAUCAUCUUCUUGUCAAAACUGUGUGGAGACUUCAAGGGCCAUCAAGGCACACUCGUCACCGUGAGCUUUGGCAAUCUUGGACUACAUUCACCUGGGUUAGAAGGGAAAAGACUGGAAACCCCAUUCCUUUUAAAGCAAAGUUGUAUUAAGAAUCUGCUGGUGUAUGCAUCACGUUUUUCAGAUUGAGACACAAUAACUGCAACAGUCUGUACUAUAGUUUUUGGUGGUUUUUUAAAGAAUUUUUUUGUAUUUCGAGACUUCGGCUGUGCUUUCUACUAAAAAUGUAAUUGUAAAUCAAUGGUAUAAUUGUCUGUAGUCAAAGAAUGGGACAUUCAAGAUCAUUGGGCAGAUGAUGACCCAACUGAAAUAUUCGUUAGAAAAUCUGAGGGCGUUUAUUUACGUGGAGGGGUAUGUAUAUUCUUGAAAACAAUGCGUUAGCGAUAAGGGAUUCUUCACACAGCAGUUGGACUCAUUCUGUAGAGCUGUUCAGCCUUGUUCAUAUGCACUGAAGAGAAAUCUUUCACAGCUAUCUUACUUGUAAUUCUACUUUCAAAUUUUUUUAUUAGUUCUUGAUACUGUGAUUAAGUUUAUAGACAUCCCUUUAAACCAAACAAAAAUAAAUUGGCUAAGGACUUCUCACAAGAGACUUAAGGGACUAGUAAAAAAGUGGAAGCCUUGCAAAAAAAAAGAAAAA